This 827-nucleotide ribosomal RNA is filed under the name uncultured bacterium. RNAcentral's name for it is "bacterial SSU rRNA". It matches the Rfam family "Bacterial small subunit ribosomal RNA", at positions 60 to 877 of the family's 1533-position model. The record is from RNAcentral.
AGUCGAGGGGAAACGACAUCGAAAGCUUGCUUUUGAUGGGCGUCGACCGGCGCACGGGUGAGUAACGCGUAUCCAACCUGCCCACCACUUGGGGAUAACCUUGCGAAAGUAAGACUAAUACCCAAUGACGUCUCUAGAAGACAUCUGAAAGGGAUUAAAGAUUUAUCGGUGAUGGAUGGGGAUGCGUCUGAUUAGCUUGUUGGCGGGGUAACGGCCCACCAAGGCUACGAUCAGUAGGGGUUCUGAGAGGAAGGUCCCCCACAUUGGAACUGAGACACGGUCCAAACUCCUACGGGAGGCAGCAGUGAGGAAUAUUGGUCAAUGGACGAGAGUCUGAACCAGCCAAGUAGCGUGCAGGAUGACGGCCCUAUGGGUUGUAAACUGCUUUUAUAAGGGAAUAAAGUGAGCCUCGUGAGGCUUUUUGCAUGUACCUUAUGAAUAAGGACCAGCUAAUUCCGUGCCAGCAGCCGCGGUAAUACGGAAGGUCCGGGCGUUAUCCGGAUUUAUUGGGUUUAAAGGGAGCGUAGGCCGGAGAUUAAGCGUGUUGUGAAAUGUAGAUGCUCAACAUCUGCACUGCAGCGCGAACUGGUUUCCUUGAGUACGCACAAAGUGGGCGGAAUUCGUGGUGUAGCGGUGAAAUGCUUAGAUAUCACGAAGAACUCCGAUUGCGAAGGCAGCUCACUGGAGCGCAACUGACGCUGAAGCUCGAAAGUGCGGGUAUCGAACAGGAUUAGAUACCCUGGUAGUCCGCACGGUAAACGAUGGAUGCCCGCUGUUGGUCUGAAUAGGUCAGCGGCCAAGCGAAAGCAUUAAGCAUCCCACCUGGG